This 255-nucleotide ribosomal RNA is filed under the name uncultured bacterium. Its description in RNAcentral is "partial 16S ribosomal RNA". It matches the Rfam family "Bacterial small subunit ribosomal RNA", at positions 524 to 777 of the family's 1533-position model. The record is from RNAcentral.
UACAGAGGGUGCGAGCGUUAAUCGGAGUUACUGGGCGUAAAGGGCGCGUAGGCGGUUAUAUAAGUGAGAUGUGAAAUCCCUGGGCUUAACCUAGGAACUGCAUCUCAUACUGUAUGACUGGAGUAUUGUAGAGGGUAGUGGAAUUUCCGGUGUAGCGGUGAAAUGCGUAGAGAUCGGAAGGAACACCAGUGGCGAAGGCGGCUACCUGGACAAAUACUGACGCUGAGGCGCGGAGAGCGUGGGGAGCAAACAGGA